Non-coding RNA from Heterocephalus glaber (naked mole-rat), 1969 nucleotides. NCBI's taxonomy places the organism in Eukaryota, Metazoa, Chordata, Mammalia, Rodentia, Bathyergidae. The record is from RefSeq and is a predicted model, not a curated record.
CAGCCUCACUUUCAACAUCAAAGCGCCUCCCAGAGAGUGCAGAGGCGGAGGAGACCACCCCAGGGCCCCAGAGCCCCAGAGCCCCACUACCCACACCGCGUUCCCUCUCUGCUGCUCGGCUGGCCGCUCCACUAUCCAGAGCCGGCCAUUUGCCGGACACUGGAAGCCGAGGCUGGCUGCCCAGGAAGGCAGUGCGCGGUCCGGUGUCUAACGACGGGAGGGUUUCCAGCCCGCCUCAGGAAAAACACCAGAGACAAACUGGGAAGUCAUAUCACAAUUGUGCUGGUUAUAAAAAGGAAGAUACAUUCAAAUCCUUGGCCACACCACCUAAACCACAUGACCAACUCAGUGGCUCCAAGAAGGGACAGAGCCACAUCACACCGUCCUGCCAGGACGCAACAUCGCACACACAUGUAAUGUUCCUGCCAACACGCGGAGCCUGACCAAGCUAUUCUAUUUGCGCGCUGAACUAUGCCUGCAGUUUCGGAUCUUUCAUCUCUGACCAAGGCAACCAAGGCUCUACUGCCCCCUGGCGGGAAGAGUUAGCGCCUGAAGCCUGCAUAAUUGCCCCCGUCACGGUAAAAUCCCAACUAGAACAUUCUGGGGCAGAUGCAGUGGAAAUCCCAACGAUCUGGUACAAGAGUAGGAACAGAGAGGCAGGGAUGUCCUGACUUUGUGCACCCAGUCACUGCCCACACCGCAGGCGACACCCAGCCAGCCCGGGCCUCCCACACAGCCGGGUCUUUCUUAUUCUGCUUCCAAGCCCUUCUGGACUGCAGGGCCCAGACUGCCGAGGACGAGAACAAGCUGCGUGUGUUACUGCAUUUUCCCCGGGAUCGGAAAACACGUGAGAAGCUAACAAGGCACUCACUCUCCUGCUCAGGCCCCUGAUGCACAGACAGCCUGCUGAUGAGUCCCGAGGGCCCAGUCCAUGGACAGCCAGCUCCAAAGCAGGAACGUCAGACGGUAGACAGGCGUGGUGCAGCAAAGCUACUCACUUCCUAGCAGCCAGGAAGGAGAGCACAGGAGGACAGCAGUGAGUUGUAUCCACCAACCAGAGAUAUGCAUCCCAGUGACCAUCCUCCAUCACCUGGACCCAACCUCAUAACAGCAUGUGCAGCUAUGGACAACAGUGGAUUAACCCACUGAGCUUUCUUCCCUGACUUCCGUCUGACUCAGACAGGGACACGUGCAUUCCCUUGACAAAGUUCAGCCCUAGCCCUGCAUGCCUGCAAUCCCAGCACUCAGGAGGGUGAGAGAGGAGGGUCGCUGCAAGUUUGAGUUCCAACAGUGCGUUCAAGACCAGCUGAACUACACAGCAAGACCCUGUCUCAGAAAAAGAAAAAGAAAAAUCCAGCCCCAAUAUUACUUCAACCUGAGAGCCCGGGGAAGAUCCUGUCCUCGGACCACGAGUUAGAGCAGGAGUGUGCAAGCCGACUACCGGCUGUUGCCACCUGCGGCUCCUUUCCGGGAACUGUAAGGUGAUGGUGUUGGUGUUGCCAUCACCCUCUCUGACAGCAGAGAGAGCCGCUGCAGCAGACUGCAGAGCCCAGGAAGCCUUAGAGACUUGCUCUCCAGCCCCUCGGUGACCAGAUUUGGAACUUGGCAGCACGGGUCUCAAGUCCGGAACUUCCUAGCAGCUGCACACAAGUGGAAGUGUCCCUGGGCAAACACAGGGCCCGGGCACUGAUGUGCUCCCAUAAAAUUCCAUCAUUCAGGAUACUUUCAUCUCUGGCCUUCUCCCCUCUCUAAACGUGCAGAAUCACCAGGUGGUGGCACACAGCUGUGACCCCAGCACUCAGGAGGCUGAGGCAGGAGGAUCACCAGGGAGUUCAAGGUCAGCCUUGGCCAUGUAAUGAGUUCAAGGUCAGUCUGAACUGCAGAGUGAGACUGCCACAAAAGUAAACAAAAAAAAAGUAAUUUCUACAAAAGGAUUCCUCUGGAGAGAAAACAGGGAAAAAAGAAUUUU